AAUAGAGAGGCGUCGUGGAUGAUCAAUUUUAAUAUUUUUCGAUCUAUGAAUCGAAACAGAGAAUGUAUUUUUCGAUCCGUUUUGGUUGAUUCAUGUAGAAGGUGCAGAAACUUUGAGUUUGUACCAUAAUGCAAGACCACCUCUACAUAUUACUGUACCUAUUAAGAAAGCCAAAACGCCUAUAUAGAUUUUGGAUGCGGAUAAUCUGAAAACUAUUUCCAACUUCUCUCCAUCAUAUGGGAUCCAGCAGACCAGGCGCCUAAUGUGAUCAUGUUUAAUGCCCCCACCGCCCCCACUGAGAGACUCAUUUAGAAUGGUUGGCACUUGCUACUAACUUGCCUGCCCUUGGUAUAUAAUAGGAAACUUCUUGGUGACGAUGGUGACCUUUGGUGGGGUAAAUGAGAAAUCAAAGUUGAUAUGUCCAUCGGGAGAUUCCUGCUCUGCUUUUAAGUCGAACAGAACCCUGCUCCACCAGCACCAAUUGAAUCCCUGGAUACCGAGGUCCAGAAAUUGGCAUGGCACACCUCAAAUGAGCUCAUAGAAGGAAAGAGAUGCACAUCACUUUACAUUACAUAUUGAUUUUCCAGCCUUCAUGGCCCCAGGUGACAAACUCUUGGGAACUUUACUUAGUGGGAGAUUUGACAUGAUAAGAACGUUUGCAUAUUGAUUCGUCCAUUUUCAAAAUUAUUGUUAAUGUCAUGCGAUAUGAGAAAAGAAAAGUUCAAAAUUAUCUGAACUGAUGUUAGUUCCAUAGUGCGAGUCACUUUGUUAAUUGGCGCCAUGUCCGGCAGCCAGUGACAGAACAAUUUUUAAGGUAAACUAAUAAGAAUGGGAGUGGUAAAUAUUGGUAAGUAGUGGUAAAAUUUGGGAUGAACCAAUAUUGUUAGUUCCCUUACCGGCAUUGGUAACCGAACAUUUUUGCAUAAUCAUUUUAAACUCUAGAGAGCGUGAUAUACGUAAUUCCUUUAUCUGGAAGGAGAUAGAAGCCUCAAUCUUUCCUACGGAUAGCAGAAGCAUUCUGCUUUGGUAACUCUGCUGAAAACUGGUGAGCAAUUAAACUAAUGCACAUCUUGAACGACAUUUGGCGAUAACUGCAGUAGAGAUAUUUUCUUUUUUGUUUUGACAUGGCAGUAGAGAUGUAGAUAUUUGGGUAAUCAUGUUUUUAAUGGGUGGAAUCUAUAUAACAUACUCACCUUUCUAUGAAAGCAUACUAAUACGUACUACUAUGAAUCUAUGAUCAUAUCCAGAAUUUGGUUCAAUGUUAGAAAGUUGGUUUUAUUGCAAUCAUACCCAAUAUUCAAAAGAAACUGCAGAAAACCUUAAUUGUUAAAUUGCGUAUUUUUAUAUGGGAUUGUUUGCUGUGCUAAACGUUAGACUGCUGUUAAAAUUUUAUUGGACCCAUGGAUACUAACUUACGUUAUUGGCAGGAAAGCAAGAAUGAGCUAUCUAUAACGUAAGCUGAGAAGAGUAAUGGUUUCUAUUAAUUUUCUAAGCUUAUAUUCACUAAUUUUUGCUAAAUUAUGUUCUAAGAUGAUGGAGGGAUAUCAACCUUCAUUAUUGUUUGGGAUACCGUUGGCACUUCUAUUUUUUAGAUCUCACAGACAGUGGUGUACCAACGUUGUAACACGAUUCAUCAUCGUUAUAGUUUUUAGAAAGUAAUGGACGUCCAAUAGUAUAAUGCAAGGAUCUGGAUACCAUCAUUUUGAGAAGAAAGUCAUCUACUCUGGCUUGGCUUCACAAACUUAGUAACUUACAGUUUUAGUCCGUCUUUUUUAAUUUUUGCU
This is a long non-coding RNA of Papaver somniferum (opium poppy), 1784 nucleotides long. RefSeq lists it as uncharacterized. The record is from RefSeq and is a predicted model, not a curated record. NCBI's taxonomy places the organism in Eukaryota, Viridiplantae, Streptophyta, Magnoliopsida, Ranunculales, Papaveraceae. The transcript is spliced from 5 exons.